Long non-coding RNA from Carassius carassius (crucian carp), 406 nucleotides. RefSeq lists it as uncharacterized. NCBI's taxonomy places the organism in Eukaryota, Metazoa, Chordata, Actinopteri, Cypriniformes, Cyprinidae. The transcript is spliced from 2 exons. The record is from RefSeq and is a predicted model, not a curated record.
UCAACUCGUUCACGAAUGAGAAGAUCUCUCGAUCUCGUUCAGUGAAGGCCAUAUGGGUUCAAUGCAUUCAACAAAUCACAUGCUCCGUCACAUCUUGAGUAACUCUUUGACAGGAUGAAACGGACGGGAUGGGUAAAGAAAUGUUACUUUAUUUGCGGGCUGGGGCGGGCCAAAUAAUUUCAUAAAAGCAGGACCCGCGGGUUAGAAAAAACCCCGACCCGCGCAUCACUAGGCUGCAUGUGCGAGCACAAGUGAUGCUGUGACCGCCGGUCCACGACUGGCAGAAAAAGAUGACGCUCAAUAAAGAUGACGCUCAUUAAAGCUCACUGGCUGAGUUUUCUCCUCUGAAAGAAAAGGUUGCACAACUGGCAGAAUAAGUUACAAUAUCUGAGAUAUUGCUGCUAAA